Long non-coding RNA from Hemibagrus wyckioides, 952 nucleotides. RefSeq lists it as uncharacterized. Lineage: Eukaryota; Metazoa; Chordata; Actinopteri; Siluriformes; Bagridae. The transcript has 3 exons. The record is from RefSeq and is a predicted model, not a curated record.
GAAGUAGAUCCAAUCAUGCCACCUUGCUCAAAAAAUCUGCCAGUGCAUGAUGACUGAUCUCAGAGCAGUCUUCUGGUUCCAUAUGAUUUAGUCUAAUCCGUUACCCGAGCUGCUUGGAAGUAAGUGUAAUAACUCAUUUCCUCCAGUCUUUUCUGUCUUUACAUAAACUGCGAGAUGCCUGGUGAUUCACCAGUCUCUGUCGGUUUUACAGCCCCGGGUGUACGUGUGCGUGUGUUUGAUGUCAGAGCAUAUUAGUUCAUUCCUCGGUGCUACUGGCCUCGCUUCCACUUGACGUCACUGGGUAAAUAUGUUAUCCCGGAGUGGCUGAGAGACUGACUGCACUGUGUGUGUGCUUAUGUGUGUUAUCUGGUUUGAACUGUGGAAUGCCUGAAGGAAGCUGAAGGCUGGGUUUUGGUUUUAACAGAUACUGCAGCAAGCAGACUACACCACAGAAACAUCCAAUAAUAACACUUUAUUAAGCCACAGCUAGUCACUCUAGGGGAGCUUCCUGGCAAUGGCAAUGGAUAAUGCAGGUUCUCAGCCUUCAGGUCUCGAUGGACGAUGCUGCGCUCGUGGCAGUACUCCACAGCUGACAGGAUCUGCCAGAACUUUCUCCGUGCUUCUGCCUCACUCAAGCGCCCAUGGCUAGCCAGGGCCAUGAUCUCGUCACGCUUUUUGGCCUAUGGGAAAAAGACACAAGAGGCUGAUGCGUGAAGAAAGCAAGCUGUGAUGUUAGAGAACUAACCAGCUUUGUCUCCACCAGUAGUAAUCUAUGCACGUUAUGGCCACGAGGCUGAGAAUGCAGCAGCCAGCUGGCAAGAGAAACUGCAACUACUAAACAAGCCUCAUAACUCUGAUUUAACACUCCCGCUUCGUGGCUACAUGGCUGGCUGGUAAUUAACGUCAUUUGAUUGAUUUCAUUCUGAAUAUGGUCUCGUUAGCCAUUCAUCAA